AUUGAACGCUGGCGGCAUGCUUUACACAUGCAAGUCGAACGGCAGCACGGGCUUCGGCCUGGUGGCGAGUGGCGAACGGGUGAGUAAUAUAUCGGAACGUACCCAGAAGUGGGGGAUAACGUAGCGAAAGUUACGCUAAUACCGCAUACGAUCUAUGGAUGAAAGCAGGGGACCGCAAGGCCUUGUGCUCCUGGAGCGGCCGAUAUCUGAUUAGCUAGUUGGUGAGGUAAAGGCUCACCAAGGCGACGAUCAGUAGCUGGUCUGAGAGGACGACCAGCCACACUGGAACUGAGACACGGUCCAGACUCCUACGGGAGGCAGCAGUGGGGAAUUUUGGACAAUGGGCGCAAGCCUGAUCCAGCAAUGCCGCGUGAGUGAAGAAGGCCUUCGGGUUGUAAAGCUCUUUUGUCAGGGAAGAAACGGUAGAGGCUAAUAUCCUUUGCUAAUGACGGUACCUGAAGAAUAAGCACCGGCUAACUACGUGC
This 485-nucleotide ribosomal RNA is filed under the name uncultured bacterium. Its description in RNAcentral is "partial 16S ribosomal RNA". It matches the Rfam family "Bacterial small subunit ribosomal RNA", at positions 30 to 508 of the family's 1533-position model. The record is from RNAcentral.